Molecule: ribosomal RNA, 422 nt
Filed under: uncultured bacterium
Lineage: Bacteria
Description: partial 16S ribosomal RNA
Rfam family: Bacterial small subunit ribosomal RNA
Source: RNAcentral
AAUCUUCCGCAAUGGACGCAAGUCUGACGGAGCAACGCCGCGUGAGCGAUGAAGGUCUUCGGAUCGUAAAGCUCUGUUGUCAGGGAAGAACACGUGUGAGAGUAACUGCUCACACCUUGACGGUACCUGACCAGAAAGCCACGGCUAACUACGUGCCAGCAGCCGCGGUAAUACGUAGGUGGCAAGCGUUGUCCGGAUUUAUUGGGCGUAAAGCGCGCGCAGGCGGUCUUUUAAGUCUGAUGUGAAAUCUUACAGCUUAACUGUAAGCGGUCAUUGGAAACUGGGAGACUUGAGUGCAGAAGAGGAGAGUGGAAUUCCAUGUGUAGCGGUGAAAUGCGUAGAUAUAGGAAGGAACACCAGUGGCGAAGGCGACUACCUGGACUGAUACUGACACUGAGGUGCGAAAGCGUGGGGAGCAAACA